Molecule: ribosomal RNA, 467 nt
Filed under: uncultured bacterium
Lineage: Bacteria
Description: partial 16S ribosomal RNA
Rfam family: Bacterial small subunit ribosomal RNA
Source: RNAcentral
GACGAACGCUGGCGGCGUGCUUAACACAUGCAAGUCGAACGGAAAGGCCCUGCUUUUGUGGGGUGCUCGAGUGGCGAACGGGUGAGUAACACGUGAGUAACCUGCCCUUGACUUUGGGAUAACUUCAGGAAACUGGGGCUAAUACCGGAUAGGAGCUCCUGCUGCAUGGUGGGGGUUGGAAAGUUUCGGCGGUUGGGGAUGGACUCGCGGCUUAUCAGCUUGUUGGUGGGGUAGUGGCUUACCAAGGCUUUGACGGGUAGCCGGCCUGAGAGGGUGACCGGCAAAAUGGGGCCUGGGAUACGGCCAGACUCCUACGGGAGGCAGCAGUGGGGAAUAUUGCACAAUGGGCGGAAGCCUGAUGCAGCAACGCCGCGUGCGGGAUGACGGCCUUCGGGUUGUAAACCGCUUUCGCCUGUGACGAAGCGUGAGUGACGGUAAUGGGUAAAGAAGCACCGGCUAACUACGUG